UUUCUUCAGGGCAGGGUGAAAUUCCCGAUCGGCGGUAAAGUCCGCGAGCGCGUUGGCGUAGGAUUUGGUGCGAUUCCAAAACCGACAGUAUAGUCUGGAUGGGAGAAGAA
Molecule: non-coding RNA, 110 nt
Filed under: uncultured Anaerotignum sp.
Lineage: Bacteria; Bacillati; Bacillota; Clostridia; Lachnospirales; Anaerotignaceae
Description: FMN riboswitch (RFN element)
Rfam family: FMN riboswitch aptamer (RFN element)
About the family: The RFN element is a highly conserved domain that is found frequently in the 5'-untranslated regions of prokaryotic mRNAs that encode for flavin mononucleotide (FMN) biosynthesis and transport proteins. This element is a metabolite-dependent riboswitch that directly binds FMN in the absence of proteins.
Source: RNAcentral